This 841-nucleotide ribosomal RNA is filed under the name uncultured bacterium. RNAcentral's name for it is "bacterial SSU rRNA". It matches the Rfam family "Bacterial small subunit ribosomal RNA", at positions 8 to 808 of the family's 1533-position model. The record is from RNAcentral.
AGAGUUUGAUCCUGGCUCAGGACGAACGCUGGCGGCGUGCCUAAUACAUGCAAGUCGAACGCACUCUCGUUUAGAUUGAAGGAGCUUGCUCCUGAUUGAUAAACAUUUGAGUGAGUGGCGGACGGGUGAGUAACACGUGGGUAACCUGCCCUAAAGUGGGGGAUAACAUUUGGAAACAGAUGCUAAUACCGCAUAAAACCUAACACCGCAUGGUGUAGGGUUGAAAGAUGGUUUCGGCUAUCACUUUAGGAUGGACCCGCGGUGCAUUAGUUAGUUGGUGAGGUAAAGGCUCACCAAGACCGUGAUGCAUAGCCGACCUGAGAGGGUAAUCGGCCACACUGGGACUGAGACACGGCCCAGACUCCUACGGGAGGCAGCAGUAGGGAAUCUUCCACAAUGGACGAAAGUCUGAUGGAGCAACGCCGCGUGAGUGAAGAAGGUUUUCGGAUCGUAAAACUCUGUUGUUGGAGAAGAAUGUAUCUGAUAGUAACUGAUCAGGUAGUGACGGUAUCCAACCAGAAAGCCACGGCUAACUACGUGCCAGCAGCCGCGGUAAUACGUAGGUGGCAAGCGUUGUCCGGAUUUAUUGGGCGUAAAGCGAGCGCAGGCGGUUUCUUAAGUCUGAUGUGAAAGCCUUCGGCUCAACCGAAGAAGUGCAUCGGAAACUGGGAAACUUGAGUGCAGAAGAGGACAGUGGAACUCCAUGUGUAGCGGUGAAAUGCGUAGAUAUAUGGAAGAACACCAGUGGCGAAGGCGGCUGUCUGGUCUGUAACUGACGCUGAGGCUCGAAAGCAUGGGUAGCAAACAGGAUUAGAUACCCUGGUAGUCCAUGCCGUAAACG